This 622-nucleotide ribosomal RNA is filed under the name Salmonella enterica. RNAcentral's name for it is "partial 23S ribosomal RNA". It matches the Rfam family "Bacterial large subunit ribosomal RNA", at positions 1 to 651 of the family's 2925-position model. RNAcentral also lists the same sequence under 1 other name. Lineage: Bacteria; Pseudomonadati; Pseudomonadota; Gammaproteobacteria; Enterobacterales; Enterobacteriaceae. The record is from RNAcentral.
GGGUUGUGAGGUUAAGCGACUAAGCGUACACGGUGGAUGCCCUGGCAGUCAGAGGCGAUGAAGGGCGUGCUAAUCUGCGAUAAGCGCCGGUAAGGUGAUAUGAACCGUUAUAACCGGCGAUACCCGAAUGGGGAAACCCAGUGUGAUUCGUCACACUAUCAUUAACUGAAUCCAUAGGUUAAUGAGGCGAACCGGGGGAACUGAAACAUCUAAGUACCCCGAGGAAAAGAAAUCAACCGAGAUUCCCCCAGUAGCGGCGAGCGAACGGGGAGGAGCCCAGAGCCUGAAUCAGCAUGUGUGUUAGUGGAAGCGUCUGGAAAGGCGCGCGAUACAGGGUGACAGCCCCGUACACAAAAGCGCAUGUGCUGUGAGCUCGAUGAGUAGGGCGGGACACGUGGUAUCCUGUCUGAAUAUGGGGGGACCAUCCUCCAAGGCUAAAUACUCCUGACUGACCGAUAGUGAACCAGUACCGUGAGGGAAAGGCGAAAAGAACCCCGGCGAGGGGAGUGAAAAAGAACCUGAAACCGUGUACGUACAAGCAGUGGGAGCACAGGUUUACCUGUGUGACUGCGUACCUUUUGUAUAAUGGGUCAGCGACUUAUAUUCUGUAGCAAGGUUAACC